GAUGAACGCUGGCGGCGUGCCUAAUACAUGCAAGUCGAGCGAACGGACGAGAAGCUUGUUUCUCUGAUGUUAGCGGCGGACGGGUGAGUAACACGUGGAUAACCUACCUAUAAGACUGGGAUAACUUCGGGAAACCGGAGCUAAUACCGGAUGAUAUUUUGAACCGCAUGGUUCAAAAGUGAAAGACGGUCUUGCUGUCACUUAUAGAUGGAUCCGCGCUGCGUUAGCUAGUUGGUAAGGUAACGGCUUACCAAGGCAACGAUGCAUAGCCGACCUGAGAGGGUGAUAGGCCACACUGGAACUGAAACACGGUCCAGACUCCUACGGGAGGCAGCAGUAGGGAAUCUUCCGCAAUGGGCGAAAGCCUGACGGAGCAACGCCGCGUGGGUGAUGAAGGUCUUCGGAUCGGAAAACUCUGUUAUUAGGGAAGAACAUAUGUGUAAGUAACUGUGCACAUCUUGACGGUACCUAAUCAGAAAGCCACGGCUAACUACGUG
RNAcentral lists this ribosomal RNA (497 nucleotides) under uncultured bacterium. RNAcentral describes it as "partial 16S ribosomal RNA". It matches the Rfam family "Bacterial small subunit ribosomal RNA", at positions 28 to 507 of the family's 1533-position model. The record is from RNAcentral.